GUGGGGAAUAUUGGACAAUGGGCGAAAGCCUGAUCCAGCCAUGCCGCGUGUGUGAAGAAGGUCUUCGGAUUGUAAAGCACUUUAAGUUGGGAGGAAGGGUAGUAACCUAAUACGUUGCUACUUUGACGUUACCGACAGAAUAAGCACCGGCUAACUUCGUGCCAGCAGCCGCGGUAAUACGAAGGGUGCAAGCGUUAAUCGGAAUUACUGGGCGUAAAGCGCGCGUAGGUGGUUCAGCAAGUUGAAGGUGAAAUCCCCGGGCUCAACCUGGGAACUGCAUUUGUGACUGUAUAGCUAGAGUACGGUAGAGGGGGAUGGAAUUUCCUGUGUAGCGGUGAAAUGCGUAGAUAUAGGAAGGAACACCAGUGGCGAAGGCGACUACCUGGACUGAUACUGACACUGAGGUGCGAAAGCGUGGGGAGCAAACAGGAUUAGAAACCCGUGUAGUCC
This 450-nucleotide ribosomal RNA is filed under the name uncultured bacterium. RNAcentral's name for it is "bacterial SSU rRNA". It matches the Rfam family "Bacterial small subunit ribosomal RNA", at positions 354 to 796 of the family's 1533-position model. The record is from RNAcentral.